AGAGUUUGAUCCUGGCUCAGGAUGAACGCUAGCGGCAGGCUUAAUACAUGCAAGUCGUGGGGCAGCAUGGUGUAGCAAUACACUGAUGGCGACCGGCAAACGGGUGCGGAACACGUACGCAACCUUCCUUUAACUGGAGAAUAGCCCGGGGAAACCCGGAUUAAUACUCCGUAACAUUAUGAAGUGGCAUCACUUUAUAAUUAUAGCUCCGGCGGUUGAAGAUGGGCGUGCGUCUGAUUAGGUAGUUGGCGGGGUAACGGCCCACCAAGCCUACGAUCAGUAACUGGUGUGAGAGCACGACCAGUCACACGGGCACUGAGACACGGGCCCGACUCCUACGGGAGGCAGCAGUAAGGAAUAUUGGUCAAUGGACGCAAGUCUGAACCAGCCAUGCCGCGUGGAGGAUGAAGGUCCUCUGGAUUGUAAACUUCUUUUAUUUGGGAAGAAACCACCGAUUUCUAUUGGUGU
This 468-nucleotide ribosomal RNA is filed under the name uncultured soil bacterium. RNAcentral's name for it is "bacterial SSU rRNA". It matches the Rfam family "Bacterial small subunit ribosomal RNA", at positions 8 to 469 of the family's 1533-position model. The record is from RNAcentral.